UCUUGUUGUCCAGGUUCGCGGGGCACAGAUUUCGGUUACGGUGUUGUCGGUUGUGUUUUUGUGCUUUGCGCGCGAAAUUCAACAUUGCAAUGGAUGGAGCGUCCGAUAAGGACAUUGAUGAAGCACGACAGAUGUUGGGCGCAGCGUUGAUAGGACGACGAAAGAGCAAUCCCACAGCAAAGAGCAGAACUUUGACCGAGGAAGAGAUCAAAGGUAGGUUUGGU
This is a long non-coding RNA of Aedes aegypti (yellow fever mosquito), 224 nucleotides long. RefSeq lists it as uncharacterized. The transcript has 3 exons. NCBI's taxonomy places the organism in Eukaryota, Metazoa, Arthropoda, Insecta, Diptera, Culicidae. The record is from RefSeq and is a predicted model, not a curated record.